AUUACUGUUCUUGAGAAAGUUAGGCUUGUCAAAUGCAGCACCCAAAAAGAAAAAAAAUUAACAAAAUCAGUGGGUUUUUUUUUUUGGUUUGUUUAUUCAAUGGCCAAAUAGUUACCAUAUAGGAUUAAUUUUAUUUUUCAGUUCUAUUACCAAGUAAAUAAAAAUCCCAGUGAAAGAACAUAGAUAUUCAUUAAGUACACGGAUGUUUGUGGAAUCUUUUCCUUCACUUAAUUUUAGAUAAGGAUAAUUAUUUUACCAUAUAGUAUUAGGAGAGACCUAAACUGGAUAUUUUUAUUAUGAUUUUGUCCCCUGCUAGAUCCUACAUUUCUUAAUGCUAUUGACAGAGCUAAUUUGGAGUAUAUAAAUCUGUAUUUACCAAUAUUAAGCUAUAAUGAUGUACAAAGUUUCAAUUCAGUAGUCAUGUCAUAUUUGGUCAAUAGCCAGCCAUCGCCAUUAGUGAAAAGUGAAGCACCUACAAGAAGUACCAAGGCCGUAAGAGAAACAAAUCAAAGGGAGAUGAAGUGAUCCGUAAUGAGCAGAGAAAAAUCAAUAAGGAAAAAAAAACAGCAUAUCUCUUAAAAUAAAUGAAGAAGAGACUGGCUGAUACUUGAACUACAUUUGUUCCAUCAUACAGAAAACUUCUCAGGAAAACAUCAAAGAAGAGUUCAUAAGUCCUUGAAGAGCUAAACUAUUUCAUGGAUCCCAGGAGGAUAAAUGGGAACUUUGACAAGAAUGAAGAAUAUGGCACCUCAAAAGUCACUCAAUCUUGGGGAAGCCCCAUGGUGAGGCCCAAAUAGUGAGGAACAGAAACCUCUUACUAAUAGCCCUGUGAAGGAGCUUGGAAACAGAUUUUCUACCCUCACUCAAGCCAUAGAGAUGCAGACCAGCCAACAGCUUGACUGCAACUUCAUGAGAGACCCUGAGUCAGAAACACAUGGCUAAGCUAAUUCUGGAUUCCUAACCCUCAGAAACUG
This is a long non-coding RNA of Diceros bicornis minor, 974 nucleotides long. RefSeq lists it as uncharacterized. The record is from RefSeq and is a predicted model, not a curated record. NCBI's taxonomy places the organism in Eukaryota, Metazoa, Chordata, Mammalia, Perissodactyla, Rhinocerotidae. The transcript has 3 exons.